RNAcentral lists this ribosomal RNA (901 nucleotides) under uncultured bacterium. RNAcentral describes it as "bacterial SSU rRNA". It matches the Rfam family "Bacterial small subunit ribosomal RNA", at positions 8 to 911 of the family's 1533-position model. The record is from RNAcentral.
AGAGUUUGAUCCUGGCUCAGGACAAACGCUGGCGGCGUGCGUAACACAUGCAAGUCGAACGGGGGCUGCGCUUUCGGGCGCAGUUCGAGUGGCGGACGGGUGCGUAACACGUGGAUAACCUGCCCAGAGGUGGGGGAUACCCGGUAGAAAUACCGGUUAAGACCGCAUAUGGUGGCCUGCGCGUGCGGCGUGGGUCAAGAAAGACCAGUUGCAAAAUUGGUUGCCUUUGGAGGGGUCUGCGGGCGAUUAGCUAGUUGGUGGGGUAAGGGCUCACCAAGGCGACGAUCGCUAGCUGGUCUGAGAGGAUGAUCAGCCACACUGGGAUUGAGAACGGCCCAGACUCCUACGGGGGGCAGCAGUGAGGAAUCUUCGUCAAUGGGCGCAAGCCUGAACGAGCAACGCCGCGUGUGGGAUGACGGCCUUCGGGUUGUAAACCACUUUUCUUGGGAACGAGAUACGGACGGUACCCGAGGAAGAAGUCUCGGCUAACUACGUGCCAGCAGCCGCGGUAAUACGUAGGAGACGAGCGUUGUCCGGAGUUACUGGGCGUAAAGGGGGCGCAGGCGGCACGUCGCGUGGGGGGUGAAAUCUCCUGGCUCAACUGGGAGGGGGCCUUCCAAACGGGCGUGCUUGAGGCGUGGAGAGGGACGUGGAAUUCCGGGUGGAGCGGUGAAAUGCGUAGAGAUCCGGAGGAACACCGACGGCGAAGGCAGCGUCCUGGCCACGACCUGACGCUCAGGCCCGAAAGCUGGGGGAGCAAACAGGAUUAGAUACCCUGGUAGUCCCAGCUGUAAACGAUGUCCACCAGGUGCCGGGGGUAUCGACCCCCUCGGUGCCGCAGCUAACGUGAUGAGUGGACCGCCUGGGGAGUACGGCCGCAAGGUUAAAACUCAAAGGAAUU